This 449-nucleotide ribosomal RNA is filed under the name uncultured bacterium. RNAcentral's name for it is "bacterial SSU rRNA". It matches the Rfam family "Bacterial small subunit ribosomal RNA", at positions 329 to 792 of the family's 1533-position model. The record is from RNAcentral.
GGCCAGACUCCUACGGGAGGCAGCAGUGAGGGAUAUUGGUCAAUGGGGGAAACCCUGACCCAGCAACGCCGCGUGAAGGAAGAAGGCUUUCGGGUUGUAAACUUCUUUUCUCAGGGACGAAGAAAGUGACGGUACUUGAGGAAUAAGCCACGGCUAACUACGUGCCAGCAGCCGCGGUAAUACGUAGGGGGCAAGCGUUAUCCGGAUUCACUGGGUGUAAAGGGAGCGUAGACGGCGACGCAAGUCUGGAGUGAAAGCCCGGGGCCCAACCCCGGGACUGCUCUGGAAACUGCGUCGCUGGAGUACGGGAGGGGCAGGCGGAAUUCCUGGUGUAGCGGUGAAAUGCGUAGAUAUCAGGAGGAACACCGGCGGCGAAGGCGGCCUGCUGGACCGUGACUGACGUUGAGGCUCGAGAGCGUGGGGAGCAAACAGGAUUAGAUACCCUAGUA